This 214-nucleotide ribosomal RNA is filed under the name uncultured Enterococcaceae bacterium. RNAcentral's name for it is "partial 16S ribosomal RNA". It matches the Rfam family "Bacterial small subunit ribosomal RNA", at positions 127 to 334 of the family's 1533-position model. Lineage: Bacteria; Bacillati; Bacillota; Bacilli; Lactobacillales; Enterococcaceae. The record is from RNAcentral.
UACCCAUCAGAGGGGGAUAACACUUGGAAACAGGUGCUAAUACCGCAUAACAGUUUAUGCCGCAUGGCAUAAGAGUGAAAGGCGCUUUCGGGUGUCGCUGAUGGAUGGACCCGCGGUGCAUUAGCUAGUUGGUGAGGUAACGGCUCACCAAGGCCACGAUGCAUAGCCGACCUGAGAGGGUGAUCGGCCACACUGGGACUGAGACACGGCCCAG